UUAUUUAUCAUUCAAAGGAAACAGUGGCUUCGCCAGAUUUGUUUGGAUGUGAGAUCUUCAAUAACUUUCUCUUGUUUUCUGAUUCUCAUGAAGACUGCUCUUUCUUUUCACACAGUUUCUCUUCCGUGAUUUCUGCUUUUGAUUAUUGAUUAACUUUUUCCUGUUUUUUUUGGUAUAUAUAAUAAUAACUCUUCUAGACUUAGGUAUUGUGAUUCAUAACCCCUCUAUGUCAUUUGGAUUUUAGGUUUGCUUUGAGGAUCUUUGUUUCAUGAGAACGGUGUAGACUGUAGAGUAAGUUGAAGAUGAAGUUUUACUUAUUUAGAUUCUUGUUAAUUGAAUUAUGUUACUAUUUUAUGCUUUUCAGUAUCAAAUUACACUUUUGAUUUGAUGAAUCAUUUGCAUGAGUUUGAAGGGCUAUAAAAUGUUUUUUUAUGUGAAAACCUUGUAAGGCCUAGGGUUAGGGUUCUUGUUAGAUCUACAUGUGAGAUAUUGAUGAAAUAUUGUAACAAAACUGUUGCAGUUGAUAUUAUCAUGAGAAAUGGUUUAAGAGAGCUCUCUUCAGUCCACUCAUGGAUAGGAAAAGGUUUUGAAUUAGCUGCUGACUCAUUCAUUCAAACAGAAUAGGAAAAGGCAUGAUGAAUAUGCUAUAUUGUGAAUGUGUGAAUGAUGCAGGAGCUAGAUUUCAUCUUUCUCUUGUCUUUGCUUGGACUGAAGGGAGCUCCCUUUUGCUGUCUUUAUUUAUUCCAUUUUCUUCUCAUUCUUUUUAUUAUAACUACUCUUUUUUCUCUUAUAUCAUCUAUGAUUUUAGCCAUACUAGUAGUUUAUUGCUUAUUGCUUAUGAUAAGUUAUAAUCUAUCUUCUCUGAAUUUGUUACUAGAGAUUAAUGAAUUUCUUGCAAAGAAUCAGUGAGUGCAUCAUGUGGAAUGUGACUCUUAGAUGUGCAUGUGCAAUCUCAGGUGAUCUGGACCUGGACCGGGUUCAUUUUUUCUUCUUCCAUCUAUUGUACUUGAAAUAGGAAUAGGAAUAUGAAUAUGUAUAUACUACUAGUAGGAGUUUAUAUAAGAUUCUUUU
RNAcentral lists this long non-coding RNA (1071 nucleotides) under Lathyrus oleraceus (garden pea). Its description in RNAcentral is "Pisum sativum (pea) long non-coding RNA (PSAT_LNC019537)". The stretch from base 538 to 735 matches the Rfam family "MIR159 microRNA precursor family". Lineage: Eukaryota; Viridiplantae; Streptophyta; Magnoliopsida; Fabales; Fabaceae. The record is from RNAcentral.